This 345-nucleotide unclassified non-coding RNA is filed under the name soil metagenome. RNAcentral describes it as "partial contains 5.8S ribosomal RNA, internal transcribed spacer 2, and large subunit ribosomal RNA". The stretch from base 1 to 120 matches the Rfam family "5.8S ribosomal RNA", at positions 35 to 154 of the family's 154-position model. The record is from RNAcentral.
GAUGAAGAACGUAGCGAAAUGCGAUACGUAAUGUGAAUUGCAGAAUUCAGUGAAUCAUCGAGUCUUUGAACGCACAUUGCGCCCUCUGGUAUUCCGGAGGGCAUGCCUGUCCGAGCGUCAUUGUUGCCCUCAAGCACGGCUUGUGUGUUGGGCCCCGCCCCCCGAUCCCGGGGGGCGGGCCCGAAAGGCAGCGGCGGCACCGCGUCCGGUCCUCGAGCGUAUGGGGCUUUGUCACCCGCUCUGUAGGCCCGGCCGGCGCCUGCCGAUCAACCAAACUUUUUUCCAGGUUGACCUCGGAUCAGGUAGGGAUACCCGCUGAACUUAAGCAUAUCAAUAAGCGGAGGA